This 185-nucleotide ribosomal RNA is filed under the name uncultured rumen bacterium. RNAcentral's name for it is "partial 16S ribosomal RNA". It matches the Rfam family "Bacterial small subunit ribosomal RNA", at positions 338 to 519 of the family's 1533-position model. The record is from RNAcentral.
CCUACGGGAGGCAGCAGUGAGGAAUAUUGGUCAAUGGGCGAGAGCCUGAACCAGCCAAGUAGCGUGCAGGAUGACGGCCCUAUGGGUUGUAAACUGCUUUUAUACAGGGAUAAAGUCGGGGACGCGUUCCCCGUUUGCAGGUACUGUAUGAAUAAGGACCGGCUAAUUCCGUGCCAGCAGCCGCG